GCUUGCUCCUUGAUUCAGCGGCGGACGGGUGAGUAAUGCCUAGGAAUCUGCCUGGUAGUGGGGGACAACGUUUCGAAAGGAACGCUAAUACCGCAUACGUCCUACGGGAGAAAGCAGGGGACCUUCGGGCCUUGCGCUAUCAGAUGAGCCUAGGUCGGAUUAGCUAGUUGGUGGGGUAAUGGCUCACCAAGGCGACGAUCCGUAACUGGUCUGAGAGGAUGAUCAGUCACACUGGAACUGAGACACGGUCCAGACUCCUACGGGAGGCAGCAGUGGGGAAUAUUGGACAAUGGGCGAAAGCCUGAUCCAGCCAUGCCGCGUGUGUGAAGAAGGUCUUCGGAUUGUAAAGCACUUUAAGUUGGGAGGAAGGGCAGUAAGCUAAUACCUUGCUGUUUUGACGUUACCGACAGAAUAAGCACCGGCUAACUCUGUGCCAGCAGCCGCGGUAAUACAGAGGGUGCAAGCGUUAAUCGGAAUUACUGGGCGUAAAGCGCGCGUAGGUGGUUUGUUAAGUUGGAUGUGAAAGCCCCGGGCUCAACCUGGGAACUGCAUCCAAAACUGGCAAGCUAGAGUACGGUAGAGGGUGGUGGAAUUUCCUGUGUAGCGGUGAAAUGCGUAGAUAUAGGAAGGAACACCAGUGGCGAAGGCGACCACCUGGACUGAUACUGACACUGAGGUGCGAAAGCGUGGGGAGCAAACAGGAUGAGAUACCCUGGUAGUCCACGCCGUAACGAUGUCAACUAGCCGUUGGAAUCCUUGAGAUUUUA
This 767-nucleotide ribosomal RNA is filed under the name Pseudomonas plecoglossicida. Its description in RNAcentral is "bacterial SSU rRNA". It matches the Rfam family "Bacterial small subunit ribosomal RNA", at positions 78 to 842 of the family's 1533-position model. The record is from RNAcentral. Lineage: Bacteria; Pseudomonadati; Pseudomonadota; Gammaproteobacteria; Pseudomonadales; Pseudomonadaceae.